GUGCCAGCAGCCGCGGUAACACGUAGGGACCAAGCGUUGUCCGGAUUCAUUGGGCGUAAAGAGCUCGUAGGCGGUUCGAUAAGUCGGGUGUGAAACCUCCAGGCUCAACCUGGAGACGCCACCCGAUACUGUCGUGACUAGAGUCCAGUAGGGGAGCGUGGAAUUCCUGGUGUAGCGGUGAAAUGCGCAGAUAUCAGGAGGAACACCAGCGGCGAAGGCGGCGCUCUGGGCUGGAACUGACGCUGAGGAGCGAAAGCGUGGGGAGCGAACAGGAUUAGAUACCCUGGUAGUCC
Molecule: ribosomal RNA, 293 nt
Filed under: uncultured bacterium
Lineage: Bacteria
Description: partial 16S ribosomal RNA
Rfam family: Bacterial small subunit ribosomal RNA
Source: RNAcentral